Long non-coding RNA from Myotis myotis, 845 nucleotides. RefSeq lists it as uncharacterized. NCBI's taxonomy places the organism in Eukaryota, Metazoa, Chordata, Mammalia, Chiroptera, Vespertilionidae. The record is from RefSeq and is a predicted model, not a curated record. The transcript is spliced from 3 exons.
CGGGUCCUCCGCACCGGAAACGCGCCCCGGCCCCACGUGGUUGCCGGCACGCGCACGCGCGGAACCCUUCUGCUCAAAUCUGCUACCGGGGAGCCCAUUUUACGGAACACCACUUGCCCACGGCUCUUCCGAUUCUGUGACUCGCUUCCUGCUUUCUGGAGCGAAUUGGCUUCCCGCGAGGUGGCGCUCAUACAUUGCGUGAAGUCGACGCGCGCCUGACUCGGAGGUAGACACGCUUUCUUGCUUUAGGUUACUCAACUUUUCCGGUCUGUCAAACAAGAACUUCUUUAUUGAGCACCUACUGUGUGCCUGGCACUGUUCUAGAGCCUGCGGGGGAUAGCAGUAACUCUCCUGGUACUGCUGGUGGCGUUGGGAAUGGAGGCAAACAAUAAAGAAAUGGAUAUGGCAUUAUGUACAUUCUAUUUAAAAAAACGAACAACGGAGCGGACGGUGGGCGGCUGAAGGAUUUAACUGCAUAUUUUAAAAGGUAUUCAUUGGUUGACCCCUGUUUGCGGCCUGACCUGGGAUCGAAUCCACAACCCCGGCUUCUAGGAAGGACACUCUAACCAACUGAACUGCUCAGCCCGGGCUACAGCUAAAAGUAAUCGCAAUGGGCAUAUGGACCAGUCCCUCUCCAGAAAUCCUAGGAAGGGGUUUCUACCUCUGCUUGGAAGCUCCUCAAACAUCAGAUCACUGGCCUUCCACCCAUCCUUUGCUAAAAAACAAUUAAGCAAACUGCUAGUCAAAUGUAUUCAUCUUCAAAAAUAAUAAUGAGUACUGGCCCUAACCGGUUUGGUUCAGUGGAUAGAGUGUCGGCCUGAGGACUGAGGGUCCCGGGUUCGAUU